GAGGGUACAGCUCAGUGGCAGAGCGUGUGCUUAGCAUGCAUGGGGUCCUGGGUUCAAUCCCCAGUACCUCCA
This 72-nucleotide transfer RNA is filed under the name Camelus bactrianus (Bactrian camel). It matches the Rfam family "tRNA". Rfam says of the family: Transfer RNA (tRNA) molecules are approximately 80 nucleotides in length. Their secondary structure includes four short double-helical elements and three loops (D, anti-codon, and T loops). Further hydrogen bonds mediate the characteristic L-shaped molecular structure. tRNAs have two regions of fundamental functional importance: the anti-codon, which is responsible for specific mRNA codon recognition, and the 3' end, to which the tRNAs corresponding amino acid is attached (by aminoacyl-tRNA synthetases). tRNAs cope with the degeneracy of the genetic code in two manners: having more than one tRNA (with a specific anti-codon) for a particular amino acid; and 'wobble' base-pairing, i.e. permitting non-standard base-pairing at the 3rd anti-codon position. The record is from Rfam by way of RNAcentral. Lineage: Eukaryota; Metazoa; Chordata; Mammalia; Artiodactyla; Camelidae. RNAcentral also lists the same sequence under 2 other names.